RNAcentral lists this transfer RNA (62 nucleotides) under Lactica sp. BMNH 846625. Its description in RNAcentral is "tRNA-His". The record is from RNAcentral. Lineage: Eukaryota; Metazoa; Arthropoda; Insecta; Coleoptera; Chrysomelidae.
AUCUAAAUAGUUUAAUAAAAUAUUGAUUUGUGGUAUCAAAGAUACAUCAUAUGUUUUAGAUU